GGGGGGUUCCAGGAUGGACAUGAAGGUCCUAGAGGUAGAUAUGUGGUCACGUAGGGUCCUGGAAGGGGAUGUGGGGUGGUGUAGGAAGGGUUGUGCAGGUCCUGUUUGGUGCUGGGUAUGAGGAUGUGGUGGGGCUGUGGGGUCGUGUAUAGGAUGUGAGGGGCUAGGCGUCUUGGGAUGGGGUCCUGGGGGGCUUAGGAGGGGUUGUGCAGGUCCUGGGGGGUCUCAGGUAGGGAUAUGGGGGGGCCGAGGGGUCCCAUGUAGGAUGUGAAGGUCCUAGAGGUAGAUAUGUGGUCACAUAGGGUCCUGGAAGGGGAUGUAGGGUGGUGUAGGAAGGGUUGUGCAGGUCCUGUGGGGUGCUGGGUAUGGGGAUAUGGGGGGGCUGGGGGGUCCUAUGUAGAAUAUGAAGGUCCUAGAUGUAGAUACGAGGUCACAUAGGGUCCUGGAAGGGGAUGUGGGGUGGUGUAGGAAGGGUUGUGCAGGUCCUAUGGGAUCCAGGUAAUGAUUUGGGUCUGGGGGCACCUGGAGGGUCCCGGGAAGGACCAGGGGGGCACCCUAUG
RNAcentral lists this long non-coding RNA (560 nucleotides) under Numida meleagris (helmeted guineafowl). RNAcentral describes it as "lncRNA (ENSNMEG00000000903.1)". The record is from RNAcentral. Lineage: Eukaryota; Metazoa; Chordata; Aves; Galliformes; Numididae.